This 64-nucleotide transfer RNA is filed under the name Cavia porcellus (domestic guinea pig). It matches the Rfam family "tRNA". Rfam says of the family: Transfer RNA (tRNA) molecules are approximately 80 nucleotides in length. Their secondary structure includes four short double-helical elements and three loops (D, anti-codon, and T loops). Lineage: Eukaryota; Metazoa; Chordata; Mammalia; Rodentia; Caviidae. The record is from Rfam by way of RNAcentral.
GGGGAUUUAGCUCAGCGACAUAAGCGCCUGCCUUGCAAGCAGGCAGUUGUGAGUUCAAUCCCUG